CCUACGGGUGGCUGCAGUAGGGAAUCUUCCACAAUGGGCGAAAGCCUGAUCGAGCAACGCCGCGUGGGUGAAGAAGGUCUUCGGAUCGUACAACCCUGUUUUUAGAGAAGAAAGUGCGUGAGAGUAACUGUUCACGUUUCGACGGUAUCUAACCAGCAAGCCACGGCUAACUACGUGCCCGCAGCCGCGGUAAUACGUAGGUGGCAAGCGUUAUCCGGAUUUAUUGGGCGUAAAGGGAACGCAGGCGGUCUUUUAAGUCUGAUGUGAAAGCCUUCGGCUUAACCGGAGUAGUGCAUUGGAAACUGGGAGACUGGAGGGCAGAAGAGGAGAGUGGAACUCCAGGUGUAGCGGUGAAAUGCGUAGAGAUAUGGAAGAACACCAGUUGCGAAGGCGGCUCUCUGGUCUGUAACUGACGCUGAGGUUCGAAAGCGUGGGUAGCAAACAGGAUUAGAUACCCGGGUAGUC
Molecule: ribosomal RNA, 465 nt
Filed under: uncultured bacterium
Lineage: Bacteria
Description: partial 16S ribosomal RNA
Rfam family: Bacterial small subunit ribosomal RNA
Source: RNAcentral